This 339-nucleotide long non-coding RNA is filed under the name Salvia miltiorrhiza (redroot sage). Its description in RNAcentral is "long non-coding RNA (SMIL_LNC006887)". Lineage: Eukaryota; Viridiplantae; Streptophyta; Magnoliopsida; Lamiales; Lamiaceae. The record is from RNAcentral.
AGCUUCACCUCAGAGUUCCCACACGUCGAGAGGUAUUUUUGGACCUUGGUCAAUCAGCCAAACUUUAAGAAAGUGUUGGGCGACAUUAAACAAGCCGAAUCUGUUCCCCCUGUUGCGACCAAGAAACAUGGACAGCCGAAAGAAGCUGCUAAACCAAAGCCAAAGGAGGAGCCAAAGAAGGAGGCCAAGAAAGAAGAACCUAAGGCUGUAGAGGAAGAAGAAGCACCUAAGCCAAAGGCGAAGAAUCCUUUGGAUCUCUUACCUCCUAGUAAGAUGGUUCUUGAUGACUGGAAGAGGCUAUACUCCAAUACGAAAACCAAUUUCCGUGAGGUUGCUAUC